GCUAACUCCGUGCCAGCAGCCGCGGUAAUACGGAGGGGGCAAGCGUUGUUCGGAUUUACUGGGCGUAAAGGGCGCGUAGGCGGAUGUUCGCGUCAGAGGUGAAAGCCCCGGGCUCAACCUGGGAACUGCCUUUGAAACGGGACAUCUUGAGUUCGGAAGAGGGUAGCGGAAUUCCCAGUGUAGAGGUGAAAUUCGUAGAUAUUGGGAAGAACACCAGUAGCGAAGGCGGCUACCUGGUCCGACACUGACGCUGAGGCGCGAAAGCGUGGGGAGCAAACAGGAUUAGAUACCCGAGUAGUC
This 300-nucleotide ribosomal RNA is filed under the name uncultured Thalassobaculum sp. Its description in RNAcentral is "bacterial SSU rRNA". It matches the Rfam family "Bacterial small subunit ribosomal RNA", at positions 496 to 795 of the family's 1533-position model. The record is from RNAcentral. Lineage: Bacteria; Pseudomonadati; Pseudomonadota; Alphaproteobacteria; Rhodospirillales; Thalassobaculaceae.